Molecule: ribosomal RNA, 497 nt
Filed under: uncultured bacterium
Lineage: Bacteria
Description: partial 16S ribosomal RNA
Rfam family: Bacterial small subunit ribosomal RNA
Source: RNAcentral
GAUAAACGCUGGCGGCGUGCCUAAUACAUGCAAGUCGAGCGAACAGACGAGGAGCUUACUCCUCUGACGUUAGCGGCGGACGGGUGAGUAACACGUGGAUAACCUACCUAUAAGACUGGGAUAACUUCGGGAAACCGGAGCUAAUACCGGAUAACAUGUUGAACCGCAUGGUUCAACAGUGAAAGACGGUCUUGCUGUCACUUAUAGAUGGAUCCGCGUCGCAUUAGCUAGUUGGUAAGGUAACGGCUUACCAAGGCAACGAUGCGUAGCCGACCUGAGAGGGUGAUCGGCCACACUGGAACUGAGACACGGUCCAGACUCCUACGGGAGGCAGCAGUAGGGAAUCUUCCGCAAUGGGCGAAAGCCUGACGGAGCAACGCCGCGUGAGUGAAGAAGGUCUUCGGAUCGUAAAACUCUGUUAUUAGGGAAGAACAAAUGUGUAAGUAACUAUGCACGUCUUGACGGUACCUAAUCAGAAAGCCACGGCUAACUACGUG